RNAcentral lists this ribosomal RNA (509 nucleotides) under uncultured marine bacterium. RNAcentral's name for it is "bacterial SSU rRNA". It matches the Rfam family "Bacterial small subunit ribosomal RNA", at positions 92 to 636 of the family's 1533-position model. The record is from RNAcentral.
UGAGCGGCGGACGGGUUAGUAACGCGUGGGAACAUACCCUUUUCUACGGAAUAGCCUCGGGAAACUGAGAGUAAUACCGUAUACGCCCUUUUGGGGAAAGAUUUAUCGGUGAAGGAUUGGCCCGCGUUUGAUUAGAUAGUUGGUGGGGUAAUGGCCUACCAAGUCUACGAUCAAUAGCUGGUUUGAGAGGAUGAUCAGCAACACUGGGACUGAGACACGGCCCAGACUCCUACGGGAGGCAGCAGUGGGGAAUCUUAGACAAUGGGCGCAAGCCUGAUCUAGCCAUGCCGCGUGAGUGACGAAGGCCUUAGGGUCGUAAAGCUCUUUCGCCAGGGAUGAUAAUGACAGUACCUGGUAAAGAAACCCCGGCUAACUCCGUGCCAGCAGCCGCGGUAAUACGGAGGGGGUUAGCGUUGUUCGGAAUUACUGGGCGUAAAACGUACGUAGGCGGAUUGGAAAGUAUGGGGUGAAAUCCCAGGGCUCAACCCUGGAACUGCCCUGUAAACUAU